AUACAGAUGGUGCGAGCGUUAAUCGGAAUUACUGGGCGUAAAGCGCGCGUAGGCGGCUUAUUAAGUCAGAUGUGAAAUCCUCGGGCUCAACCUGGGAACUGCAUCUGAUACUGGCAAGCUAGAGGUUUGGAGAGGGAAGUAGAAUUUCAGGUGUAGCGGUGAAAUGCAUAGGGAUCUGAAGGAAUACCAGUAGCGAAGGCGACUUCCUGGCCAAAAACUGACGCUGAGGUGCGAAAGCGUGGGUAGCAAACGGGAUUAGAAACCCUAGUAGUCC
RNAcentral lists this ribosomal RNA (274 nucleotides) under uncultured bacterium. Its description in RNAcentral is "partial 16S ribosomal RNA". It matches the Rfam family "Bacterial small subunit ribosomal RNA", at positions 523 to 796 of the family's 1533-position model. The record is from RNAcentral.